GCCCUGGAGCUAUUUAUCACCAAUCUGUACAGAGAAGCAAGAAGUCUGCAUGUCAUAGGAGCAACCAUCACCGGAGUUCUCCGCAUUUGAUUCUGCAACUCUAAAGCUGGCUCUUAGAACUGGCUUGAGGUGUUGGUAGCUGCACCUCUGGAAAGAGCCUUUUGUUAGGGCCCGAAGGCAUCUGGACUCACUUCUCUGAAAGCACACUCCUCUCCACACUAGGAAGCUUUAUGUUCUCCCUGGAGAAAAGCAACCUAGUUAACCCUCUAAGCGUAUUGUUAUUUAUUAUUUUAUUGAGCAAUAAACUAAAGUGUGAUUGA
This is a long non-coding RNA of Mus musculus (house mouse), 320 nucleotides long. RefSeq annotates it as predicted gene, 30588. The transcript is spliced from 2 exons. Lineage: Eukaryota; Metazoa; Chordata; Mammalia; Rodentia; Muridae. The record is from RefSeq and is a predicted model, not a curated record.